GUGAAGUACCGUAGCUCGGUGGUAGAGCAUCUGCAUUGCAUGCAAAAAGUCCCAAGUUCACUCCUUGGCACCUCCACA
Non-coding RNA from Podarcis lilfordi (Lilford's wall lizard), 78 nucleotides. The record is from the annotation of a GenBank genome assembly. NCBI's taxonomy places the organism in Eukaryota, Metazoa, Chordata, Lepidosauria, Squamata, Lacertidae.